CGUCCCUUAGGUACAGAGUAGACAUGCUUUGGCUGCUCCGCCGCUAACAACUGUGAUCUCACAAACGGCGUGUGCUCAUUCCGUCAGGCGAGCGUAGGCGAAAAAGGCUACACUUAAUUAAACAGCAAACGUUGUAGCUAAACAUCUUAUUACGUCUGUUGAGUGUGAAGGCUCAGCCUCAGAUGCGUACAGACAGAUUGCCAGAAGGUUUCUGGCAAUGACUGUGUGCUUGGAAGUAAAAGCUGAAUUCACAGAACUCCUUCACUAGUGUUUCUCUCUCUCUCUCUGUCUGUCUGUCUCUCUGUCUGUCUUUCUCUGUCUGUUUCUCUCUCUCUCUGUCUGUCUGUCUCUCUCUCUCUCUCUCUCUCUCUCCUGCACUCCUGUGACUCCUGAAAGCUCUUGUCUUGUCAGAUUGGAUGGCUUUAGCAUGCUCCUAGACUUGCUGUUGACGCAAGUAAUGCCAUUUGGCAGACGCAUUACAGUGGAAACGGCAAAUGCUCAUUCAGGCUGAUUUAUUCCAAGUUUAAUGUUCUUGUCACUGCCAAUUUACACUUGCUGUUUGCUGCUCGCAGCUUUCUCGAGUAGUUACAAUACAUGAUAACAUACAUCAAUUUGGCUAAUUGCAGCAACAUAUUGUGGCGUUGAUUGUUUUUUUUUUUUUGUUUUUUUUUUUGCUGCCAUCGAUUUUUCAGUUUUGUGUUUGAUUUUUAAAUUUCAGAACUUUACCGAAGGUUUUAUGUUAACAUGACAGAAAAAAGCAAGAUACUGUCUUUAGCAUCAAAGUGCAAAAAUAUAAAGUUGUUACUAAUUUAAUAAAUCCCUCCAAAAACAAUUAGUUACAUCCAACAGAGUAAUUACAACACUUUAAUUGAUUGACAUGUGUUAUAGUCAUUACCUUUAGUGCCUAAUCAAUCAGGAAGAACUGCUACAUGCCAUAAAAUUGCUAAGGGAAGCCUAGCUUGUAGAAAGUCUUGUUGAUAUGUGGUACAAUCUGAAGUGUAUUCAACAAGGAAACUAAAUCCUUAUUCUCCCUGAGGUGUGUUGACCAUGAGUGUGUUGUUCUAAUCAUUCAGUUUGCAAUAAAUUAUAAUAAUAAUGCAUCUUCAUAAAAUAGCAGUGUUACUUGUUUGGAGGCAGUAUCUAUAAUAUAGUAACUAGCAGUUUAGCUCUCAUGCAUAUUAACAGCUGAACACCUCCUAUCAUCUGCUUUAUCUACGACUGCCUUAAAGGCGCUGUGCUAAUGCAGAGGUGAGUGAUCCAACUCCAUUUGUCUCUAUCUUUCUGCAGACAGAGACCAAAAUCACAAUAACUGGACUUAAUGGGUUUUAAUGACCAUUCAGUUUGUAACCGACCUCAUAACAGCUCCUCGCCUUUACAGUUAUAGGUCUACAUAAGCCGAGUGUCCCUUUAAUGUUUUUUCUUCUCUAUU
Molecule: long non-coding RNA, 1429 nt
Organism: Cynoglossus semilaevis (tongue sole)
Lineage: Eukaryota; Metazoa; Chordata; Actinopteri; Pleuronectiformes; Cynoglossidae
Exons: 3
Source: RefSeq, a predicted model, not a curated record